Molecule: long non-coding RNA, 1615 nt
Filed under: Ananas comosus (pineapple)
Lineage: Eukaryota; Viridiplantae; Streptophyta; Magnoliopsida; Poales; Bromeliaceae
Description: long non-coding RNA (ACOM_LNC001296)
Source: RNAcentral
UAUAGAAACUGAGGAUUCAUAUGUGUAUGUAUAUAGAUACAGAUAUAGAUGAAUGCAUGUCUGCGAAAAUAUAGUGAAUAACAAAUAUAUAAUUUUAUAAAGUUCAAUUUUAAUAUAUUAUUAUUAUAAAAGUCAUGAUAUUUUCAAAUAUAUCCCUGUCGGUAGUAUCAAUUAGAAAAUUUUAAUUAAUCAUGGCUAGUUUUUUUUUUAUCUUUUUAUUCUUCUUAUAUCGUACUGUUAUAAUUUUCGGAGGGACAUAUUUGUGAUGGCAAAAUUGAAAAAUAUAAACAGUUUUCUAACGAUAAUAAAUAAGAGGGACAUAUUUGGUAAUAUUAGAACUUUUGUAAAGACAACAUAUAAAAGUUGAACUUUAUAGGAAUAUAUUUGUCAUUUAUUAUAUUUGCAGGGACAUGUAUAAUUUUUUUUUUUUCUAAAAGGAGAUAUGUGAUUGACUUAGUAUUGUUUUUUUUUUUUUUUUUUUUUNUUUAUUGAGAGAUAGGUAGCAUGCUACCCGCUUCGUUUAUUUCAUUUAGAAAUAAGUUUAGCUGGAAAUGUAAAUCAACUAGGAUUCGAACUUGGGUCGCGGGUACCAACCACCAAGCCCUUUGCCACUUGCUCUAGGGACAGUCGGUUUGACUUCGUAUUGUUGAUGUGGUGCAAGUGCGAUACAAUAAACUUUCUCUGAAAGUGCAUGGUAUGUAGGGAUGUAAAUUGUUAUGAAUAUCUGAAAUUUUAUUAACCUGUAUUUAAAUAGAGCGAGUUCCUAUAAUAAAUAUAUAUAAUUUCGAAUACAGAUCGAAAGAACGAGAAUUUGAAGGAUUUGGAUUCGGAUAUGAAUUUGUCUGUGUUCGACCCGUAUCCGAACUCGAACCUAAGCAGAAUUGAUUUUACAUUAUAUAAUAUCACUAUAACAAAAACGGUAUAUAACGAUAUUUUUAAAUGUCGGUAAGAGUUAAAAAAGUGCUACUGACUAAAUUACUGACACUUUUGAAAAGUGUUGCUAUAUGUGGGGUCGCUAGGUAUAUAGUGACAGUUAAAUAGUAUUGGUAUAAUCUAAAAAGAGUGCUGCUAAUUUAUCAACACUUAUUUAAACAUUUAGCAACUGCCGGAACUCUAUCUCGUUGACUGCGGUAGCAAAGGAGGAGGAGAGGAAAGGGCUCUUCGUCUAGAAUUUCAAUAGAUUGAGUGAAAGGAGAAGGGGAGAUGAUAAUCGAUUUUUUUUUUUUUUUUUUUUUUUUUUUUUUUUUUGUAAUCGGGCCGAAUGAGCUGGGUUGGAUGGAUUGAGUAAAGUAACAUUUUAUUUUUGAUUGGAUUGUGUUUUAUAUUUAGGCAUUAAUAUAUUUUUAAAAAAAAUUUGGCAUAAAUGGAACACUUAUAUAAAAGUGUUCAAAACAUAUAUCCUUAUAACUUAAUUCUGUUGUAGUGUAUAUAAAUAUUUGAUAUUAUAUUUAAAUUUAUACUUCAAAAUUUUAGAUUUAGUGUAAUAUGUUUUGAAACAGGAUAAAGAAAAAUGAUUGCUUAUGAGUUCGGAUUUUAGAUAUUUGGUUAGGUUUUUAAAAUUCGUUGGAUUCGGAUUUAGGUUUGAGUUUGAGUUUCAUGUUUGAUAAUCGGAUUC